This 480-nucleotide ribosomal RNA is filed under the name uncultured bacterium. RNAcentral describes it as "partial 16S ribosomal RNA". It matches the Rfam family "Bacterial small subunit ribosomal RNA", at positions 28 to 523 of the family's 1533-position model. The record is from RNAcentral.
GACGAACGCUGGCGGCGUGCCUAACACAUGCAAGUCGAGCGAGUGAAUCUCCUUCGGGAGUGAAGCUAGCGGCGGACGGGUGAGUAACACGUGGGCAACCUGCCUCAUAGAGGGGAAUAGCCUUUCGAAAGGAAGAUUAAUACCGCAUAAGCUUGUAGCUUCGCAUGAAGUAGCAAUUAAAGGAGCAAUCCGCUAUGAGAUGGGCCCGCGGCGCAUUAGCUAGUUGGUGAGGUAACGGCUCACCAAGGCGACGAUGCGCAGCCGACCUGAGAGGGUGAUCGGCCACAUUGGGACUGAGACACGGCCCAGACUCCUACGGGAGGCAGCAGUGGGGAAUAUUGCACAAUGGGGGAAACCCUGAUGCAGCAACGCCGCGUGAGUGAUGACGGCCUUCGGGUUGUAAAGCUCUGUCUUCAGGGACGAUAAUGACGGUACCUGAGGAGGAAGCCACGGCUAACUACGUGCCAGCCGCCGCCGUAA